Molecule: ribosomal RNA, 440 nt
Filed under: uncultured Simplicispira sp.
Lineage: Bacteria; Pseudomonadati; Pseudomonadota; Betaproteobacteria; Burkholderiales; Comamonadaceae
Description: bacterial SSU rRNA
Rfam family: Bacterial small subunit ribosomal RNA
Source: RNAcentral
GGAAUUUUGGACAAUGGGGGAAACCCUGAUCCAGCAAUGCCGCGUGCAGGAUGAAGGCCUUCGGGUUGUAAACUGCUUUUGUACGGAACGAAAAGACUCUUUCUAAUAAAGAGGGUCCAUGACGGUACCGUAAGAAUAAGCACCGGCUAACUACGUGCCAGCAGCCGCGGUAAUACGUAGGGUGCAAGCGUUAAUCGGAGUUACUGGGCGUAAAGCGUGCGCAGGCGGUUAUGUAAGACAGAUGUGAAAUCCCCGGGCUCAACCUGGGAAUUGCAUUAGUGACUGCAUAGCUAGAGUGCGGCAGAGGGGGAUGGAAUUCCGCGUGUAGCAGUGAAAUGCGUAGAUAUGCGGAGGAACACCGAUGGCGAAGGCAAUCCCCUGGGCCUGCACUGACGCUCAUGCACGAAAGCGUGGGGAGCAAACAGGAUUAGAUACCCGAG